CUGGGCCUUCUGCACUUCUUUCUUGUGAACCCCGUCAGAUCCGGGAGGAAGCAGCGGCAGCAGUGAUUAGAAGGUGCCGGAAUGUGCCUAG
This 91-nucleotide signal recognition particle RNA is filed under the name marine eukaryotic metagenome. RNAcentral describes it as "Bacterial small signal recognition particle RNA". It matches the Rfam family "Bacterial small signal recognition particle RNA". From Rfam's summary of the family: The signal recognition particle (SRP) is a universally conserved ribonucleoprotein involved in the co-translational targeting of proteins to membranes. Archaeal SRP consists of a 7S RNA and homologues of the eukaryotic SRP19 and SRP54 proteins. In most bacteria, the SRP consists of a 4.5S RNA and the Ffh protein (a homologue of the eukaryotic SRP54 protein). The record is from RNAcentral.